Molecule: transfer RNA, 75 nt
Filed under: Ixodes scapularis (black-legged tick)
Lineage: Eukaryota; Metazoa; Arthropoda; Arachnida; Ixodida; Ixodidae
Rfam family: tRNA
About the family: Transfer RNA (tRNA) molecules are approximately 80 nucleotides in length. Their secondary structure includes four short double-helical elements and three loops (D, anti-codon, and T loops).
Source: Rfam by way of RNAcentral
ACCUGGUUAGAUCAGUUGGUAGAGCGCUCCAUUGGAAAUGGAGAGGUAUACCAGGUUCGAUACCAGGACCGGGCG